This 352-nucleotide ribosomal RNA is filed under the name uncultured Streptococcus sp. RNAcentral's name for it is "bacterial SSU rRNA". It matches the Rfam family "Bacterial small subunit ribosomal RNA", at positions 1028 to 1382 of the family's 1533-position model. Lineage: Bacteria; Bacillati; Bacillota; Bacilli; Lactobacillales; Streptococcaceae. The record is from RNAcentral.
UCGGUGACAGGUGGUGCAUGGUUGUCGUCAGCUCGUGUCGUGAGAUGUUGGGUUAAGUCCCGCAACGAGCGCAACCCCUAUUGUUAGUUGCCAUCAUUCAGUUGGGCACUCUAGCGAGACUGCCGGUAAUAAACCGGAGGAAGUGGGGAUGACGUCAAAUCAUCAUGCCCCUUAUGACCUGGGCUACACACGUGCUACAAUGGUUGGUACAACGAGUUGCGAGUCGGUGACGGCGAGCUAAUCUCUUAAAGCCAAUCUCAGUUCGGAUUGUAGGCUGCAACUCGCCUACAUGAAGUCGGAAUCGCUAGUAAUCGCGGAUCAGCACGCCGCGGUGAAUACGUUCCCGGGCCUU